AGUGUUGAGGACCACCAUCUAUGUGAUCUAAGAUUCCCAACCAAAGGGAAUUACAUGAACAUCUCUUUGAUUGAUUGUUGGGGUCACAACAUGACAACCUCUCAUGCAUUUAGAGGCAAGAUCAUGUCCAUAACAUCUGGCUCUGAUUUCAGCUGUGGCCUAUUUGCUGAGAACAGGAAUGCUUUUUGUUGGGGGUGAUGAAACUAUGAGUGGGGUUUUGAGCUUGAUUCCUAGACAUGCAAGGUUUCAGAUGAUUUCAGCUAGAGUUUCUUCUAUAACAACAUGUCUAAAAGUUCAAUGAUGUAUGUUCCAGAUGGAAUUGCCGGACUUGCUUCAUAUUCGAAUCAGCUGGACAUGGAACAUUUUGGAGAUGUUGGUUCCUUGGAUGAUAAUGUGGAAUCGUUCUUGUCACAUGAUGAUGGAGAUGCAAGGGACAUAUUUGGUACAUUAAAAAGAAGUCCAACAGAGCACAAUACAACGUCUUCAAAGGGUAAUUGAUUUUCUUUUAUGUCAUUUUUGGACAGACACUGCAAUUAUCUGAAGCUAUUAUAAAUUGGGGUGCAGCUUGGUUAGGUGGGGUCAUGUUUAGGGUCAAUCUGAGCCCAACCUGACCUCAAGAGGACCCAACCUGCAAUCUGACCCAGCCCUAAUUCCAACCUUAGGUGCCCAACCCAAACCGAAUCCGAACCAACCCAAACCGAAUCCGACCUAAAUCUAAAACCUAAAUGUAUUCUCAAAUCCUUAAACCAAACCUACACCUAAUCCUAAUCUCAACUCCCUAACCUAAACUUAAACCUAACUUGAAAACCCAAACCUAAACCCGAUCCUGAACCUGAACCCGAUUUCCUAAACCUAAACUUAUAACCUUAACUUAAACCUAUUCUCAAAUCCCAAAACCUAUAACCUAAACUUAAACCUAAUCCCAGAUGAAUUGGACUUCUAUCUUGAGAAAACGCCAUGAUUUCAGGUAGUUAUUAUUGUAAUGGAAAGUUAAAAAAAUUAAAAGAGAGAGAGAGAUAAUGAAUUCAUGGAAAGAAAUGUUAUUUAUCAUGAAGGCUGCUUUCGCCGGGUUUGAUGUAGAAAUCGUCGCUAACUUCACAGAAAGACAAAUAGCAUCAGUGGCCACAUAUUGCAACCUGGAUUUAAACAAUGUUCGAGGUGCCGUCAACAAUGUUAACAGAAUCUUCCAGGUCAGAUUGUUGAUUGGACCUGAUUUUAUUUAAAUGAUCUUGAUAAUCCAUUUUAUUUAAAUGAGCAGACUCGGAUGUGCGUCGGAGCUAUUCGGAUAUUGAGUGGGGGUCCUUGGAAGGUGGGAACCACUGUUAUGACCAUGAUGAAGCUGUUCAUUUCCUAUGGACAACAUUGGAGUGGCCUGACUAUUUGGACAGGUCGUGUUUAUAUCUGUAUUUGCUCGAAAUCGAUGGAGCAGACCCAGAUGUGCGUCGGAGCUAUCCGAAUGUUGAGUGGGGGUCCCUGGAAGGUGGGAACCGCUGUUAUGACCAUGAUGAAGUUGUUCAUUUCCUAUGGAUAGCAUUGGAGUGGCCUAACCAUUUGGACAGGCCGUGUUUAUAUCUG
This is an RNA transcript of Magnolia sinica, 1575 nucleotides long. It is a transcript of the gene named transcriptional corepressor LEUNIG_HOMOLOG-like, with no coding region annotated. The transcript has 3 exons. NCBI's taxonomy places the organism in Eukaryota, Viridiplantae, Streptophyta, Magnoliopsida, Magnoliales, Magnoliaceae. The record is from RefSeq and is a predicted model, not a curated record.